GCCGUGUUAGCUUUAAUGGUAGAGCAGCUGACUUGUAAUCAGCAGGUUGUAGGUUCGAAUCCUACACACGGCUC
Molecule: transfer RNA, 74 nt
Filed under: Crassvirales sp.
Lineage: Duplodnaviria; Heunggongvirae; Uroviricota; Caudoviricetes; Crassvirales
Also listed under: 1 other name
Description: tRNA-Thr
Rfam family: tRNA
About the family: Transfer RNA (tRNA) molecules are approximately 80 nucleotides in length.
Source: RNAcentral